AUACAGAGGGUGCGAGCGUUAAUCGGAAUUACUGGGCGUAAAGCGCGCGUAGGCGGCUUGGUCAGUCGGAUGUGAAAGCCCCGGGCUCAACCUGGGAAUGGCAUUCGAUACUGCCAGGCUAGAGUAUGGGAGAGGGAAGUGGAAUUUCCGGUGUAGCGGUGAAAUGCGUAGAUAUCGGAAAGAACACCAGUGGCGAAGGCGACUUCCUGGCCCAAUACUGACGCUGAGGUGCGAAAGCGUGGGGAGCGAACAGGAUUAGAUACCCCAGUAGUCC
RNAcentral lists this ribosomal RNA (274 nucleotides) under uncultured bacterium. RNAcentral's name for it is "partial 16S ribosomal RNA". It matches the Rfam family "Bacterial small subunit ribosomal RNA", at positions 523 to 796 of the family's 1533-position model. The record is from RNAcentral.